AGCUAACCUCUCCUCAUAAGACAUUCCUUUAUGACCAGAAAUCAUUCUCGUCGCCCUAUGUUGCACCAUUUCCAAGGCAGCAAUGUCCUUCUUAAGGUAUGGUGACCAAACCUGCACACAGUAUUCUAGGUGGGGUCUUACCAAGGAAUUAUAUAAUCGUAGCAUCACCUCCCUUGACUUAAACUCCACACACCUAGAGAUGUAACCCAACAUCCUAUUGGCCUUUUUAAUUGCUUCCCCACACUGGUGAGAGUGCGACAUGGAAGCAUCAACAUACACACCGAGGUCUUUCUCAUAAUCAGCUAGUGGACCUUCCAAAGGAGAAAUACCUGAGGAGGGAAAACUGAGGACAGACUGUCGCACACCCACUGCUCAUCGCGGGAGCAGCGGAGGCUGUCCUGGCAGGACAGGGGUGGGGAAUCUGAUCCACGGAGGGCCGGAGUGGGUGCAGGUUUCUGGGAUGGCCUCUCAAUCAGCCAUCUCUAUGCUCCACUCAUCUUAAAGUGACAGAGCCGCCCCUCCACCUGUGGCACUUCACCUCCACCUGGACAUCGCUUUCAAGCCCCGCUGCUGAUACAUCCACCAAGGGUCCCGGAGGAAAUUCAGCCACGAUGACACUAACCCGAUAAAGUCCAUCUGGUCUUCAACUCGUCAUUCUCCUCGCAACACCAACCAGGAUGUUAACCACAAUGUGUUAGCCCACCUAACCAGGUCGGCUAAACCUACAGUCAAACAGGCUAACUCCAGCGUCAACUUCGGAUUAUUAAACAUCCGCGCUCUGACUGGUAAGGGGUAUCUCGUCCACUAUCUCCUCUCAAAGCGCAAGUUGGAUUUUCUAUGUUUGACUGGAACAGCAUAAUGAUUUUGUUUCCCUCAACGACUCCAUUCCACCUGAGUUUGUUUAUGUUUGCCAAUCUCGUGACUUGGGGCGGGGCGGAGUUCUUGCGAUGAUUCAUCGGAAGCAGUGGGAAGUUCUCCCCGUCUCUACCCUACUCUUCCAUUCAUUUGAAUACACCGCAUCACAGCUCCCUGGAUCCACUCCCACUAUUAUAUCCACUGUUUAUCGACCACCUAAGCCAAAUAAGGAUUUUCUAAAUUACUUUCUUGCUUUUCUUACUCAUUUCUAAGUACUCCCUCCCAAUAUUAUAAUCCAUGGUGACUUUAACAUUCAUAUGGACAAUGGUAAUAACCUCCUCUUCAGAGAUUUCACAUCUUGUUUGGAUAGCUUUGGAUUUCAAGAACACAUUAAAUUCCCUGCUCACUGCAAAGGCCAUAUCUUAGACCUGGUUUGCCGGUCUGGUGU
Molecule: long non-coding RNA, 1303 nt
Organism: Brienomyrus brachyistius
Lineage: Eukaryota; Metazoa; Chordata; Actinopteri; Osteoglossiformes; Mormyridae
Exons: 3
Source: RefSeq, a predicted model, not a curated record